ACGAACGCUGGCGGCAGGCCUAACACAUGCAAGUCGAGGGGGAAGCCACUUUCGGGUGGUGGAGACCGGCGCACGGGUGAGUAACGCGUGGGAAUUUACCUUGGAGUGGGGAAUAACCGCUGGAAACGGCGGCUAAUACCGCAUACGCCCUUUUGGGGAAAGCUUUAGCGCUCUGGGAUGAGCCCGCGUUAGAUUAGGUAGUUGGUGGGGUAAGGCCUACCAAGCCUUCGAUCUAUAGCUGGUCUGAGAGGAUGAUCAGCCACACUGGGACUGAGACACGGCCCAGACUCCUACGGGAGGCAGCAGUGGGGAAUAUUGGACAAUGGGGGCAGCCCUGAUCCAGCCAUGCCGCGUGCGUGAAGAAGGCCUUAGGGUUGUAAAGCGCUUUCACUGGUGAAGAUGAUGACGGUAGCCAGAGAAGAAGCCCCGGCUAACUCCGUGCCAGCAGCCGCGGUAAU
This 458-nucleotide ribosomal RNA is filed under the name uncultured bacterium. Its description in RNAcentral is "bacterial SSU rRNA". It matches the Rfam family "Bacterial small subunit ribosomal RNA", at positions 29 to 524 of the family's 1533-position model. The record is from RNAcentral.